GUCAACAAAUGCCAAUAUUUGAAAUCCUUCUCUGAAGUGGAGAAGUAUGAUAUGUGCAUUGUUUGAGUUCAAUCUCAUAAAACUAAGAGCCAAAUGGCCAGUUCGUUUAGCCUUUUGUUUAAUACCCCUAUGGCUUUUAAAUAAAUCUUAAUGUGCUUGAGAAGUGACAUCAUGUUAUUUGCCAAAUCAGUGUGCUUUCUUUUCAUUAUGAGUGCUGUGCAUAGCUUCUUUUAAGAGUAUGAAAUAAACUGUAGAUGUUAACUAUCUCCUGUGAAAUAUUAUAAUUUAAGAGCCGUCGAUUUUUACAUGGUUUCACAUAUAUGAUGCAUGCUUGUGCUGUACAUAAUUUAUUUCGCGUCUUCCUUCACAACUGGGGACAUAUAUUAAUGGCAGUACUAGGACUAAGUCUGUGUGAACUGCAGAUUAUUUUGAGUCAUGAACAUGCUGAUGCAGUUCUUGGUCUUGAUGACAUAUGUGCUGUACUACCAUUUAGUUCUACAAAUAAUAUUGAUCCAAUCCCCAUUUACCUAAGUCAGUUUACCAUGGACAGGUAAGUUUGCUAUUCCUGCUCAGCUGCAAGCAUGCAUCUUUUCAUCAAGUUCAUUUGUCAUUGUUUGUUCAUCUUUUGUUUUUAGGACACAUAUUUUUCAUUGAAAAUAUAUGUGAUGCUUUGGUAUGUCAAUGUUUAUUUGUUCUUUGUGAUGAAAUCUGCAUUUAUGAAACUAGAGUGAAAAUUUAGUUGUUAACAAAAUGUUUCUAGUUUAUUAUCAAACUAAAAUCCCUACAAUGUGAUUAUGUAAUGUAUGUUGGUUUCAAAGAUGAUCAUUUGAAGUAGUCUUCCGUUAAAUGACCUACAGUAAUAAUAUAAAGGUUGAGAAACUUGAAAGGUUGAAUAUCUAAAAUAACCUCUAAGUAAAAAAUCAUAACCAUUGGUUUGAUCCUUUUGUUUAAGUAAAAAAUCAUAACCAUUGGUUUGAUCCUUUUGUUUUCUUGUUUUUUAAGGACUAAUUAAAUUUAGUGAGAAAAAUGGAGCAUGCUAAAGCCAUCCUCAUUCCAAGAUACUUUACUUUCCAUUGGAAGUGGAAAUAUUGUUAUCCUUAAUAACCCAUGCUAAAGUUUGAAAGUUGACAUGCCAAAUUAACUUAAAACAUUAUUUUCAUGUCUGUCUUUGUUUUACCUUGGAAACAGCAUUGCUUUGAGAUUUCCAUACUUGAUAAAGAAAAAUUUAAGGGAAAGCCAGAAAAUAAGACAAGUGGCAGCACAGCUGGAUUGGAAUAUUAUUGAGGAAGACUGUCAGAGACCAUUUGUUGCAUCAGGAGUAAAAUUUGUUCCUCUGCCAGUGAUGCAUGGAGAAGACUAUAUUUGCUUGGGAUUUCUCUUUGGUGAAAAAAGCCAAGUAGCUUAUAUAUCUGAUGUUUCACGUUUUCCUGCAGGCACGGAAUAUGUAAUUUCAAAAUCAGGGGCUGGGCAGUUGGAUCUUCUUAUCUUGGAUGCUUCGCGAAAGUAUGGACUCCCUGGUGCUCACUUUUCCUUACCUGAGAGCCUUGAAGCUGUGAAGAGACUAUGUCCAAAGCAAGCUCUUUUUAUUGGGAUGGGUCAUGAGCUUGAUCAUUACAAAGACAAUGACUUUUUAGCAGAAUGGUCUAAGAGGGAAGGAAUACCAGUGCAGCUUGCACAUGAUGGCUUGAGAGUUCCUAUAGACAUAUGAUAAGGUUUGAACUCAUAGUUAUCAUAACAUUUGCAUUGUGGAUUGAAAUUCUGAUGUUAGGAAUUGAUGGAUAUAAAUUUAGCAGGGUCUUGAGUCAUUUACAAAAUUGAUGUGUAUAGGUAAUAUGUGUUUAUAUUCCCAUUCUUUUCUAGUAUGCCUUUGGUAAUUUGUUCUCACUUUCAGUCUUACUCAUCAAAUUAGAACUUCUGUUUCCUUGAGAUAUAGUGUUUUUGUUCUCAAUAAAAUAGCAAUUAGCAAAAAUUUUCUCUUGCGUGCUCUACAAAAUAUCUAUGAAACAAAUGUAAACCAGAAUUAGAGUAGUAACAAGCCCAUCGUCACCUAUUAAUCAAUUCUAGUUGUCCUCUUUUUGCUUGGAGAGAAAGGAAGACAAAGAAGUGAAAGAAAAAGAACAUUGGAAGAAAAGAAAAAAGAAAGAGAAGAACAGGGCUGUUAAAAGAACAAGAAAUGUUUGGGGAGGAAGAGCAAUUAAAAUAGAAAGUGUUACUACUAAGAAAACAACAGAGGAAAAUUAUUUUCCUAGUUUGUUAUUUGAGUCAUGAGAAUAUCAAAAUUGAAUCAAAUUGUAAAAUUUGAAUCACGAAACGUAGAUUUACCUAUGUUUUUAUUUAAUUUCAGUUCAAAUGCUUAAUUGGAAUCCUUGAGAUACUAAAUUGAAUCAAAUUAUAAUAUUUGAAUUUUGAAAGGAAUGAUUUGAAGUUGAACUCAAAAAUCACUUCCGCAUAGUUGGUGCCUUGAGCUCUUUUAUUGAGUUAAUAUUAGCAAUGACUGUUAAAGUAGAGGGAGAGGUAAAAUAUUGAAAUUAAAAAUUUGCUGCCUUAUCUACUUAAGUUGUUGGGCUGAGAAAUGAAAUAUGGAUGAUCACCAUGCACAUAAUUAAUAGUUUCCUUCCCAUUCUGAUGGAAGGUACAAACAUGAUGAAUUAUUUGUCACUUCAACUCAUAUUUGAAUAGUUGAGAUAAUUUUUUUACGAGAAGUGCAGGAUAGAGAUUGUUGAUAUAAAACUUGUCUUGUACUGAUGUCUGUCUUAACAUAGUAUGUUAAUUAAAACAGCAAUUACUAGCUGGAAAUAUUUACAUUUUCUCACAUAUCUUAUCCAUCAUAAAUGUGCAGAUGAUUGGUACCUGUCACUGACAUGAUAUGUGUUGCAUUACUUUGUUUUGCUCCACCCAAAAAUUUAUCUUGGUCUCUUGGGGCAGGUUCCAACUCUCAAAGAUUUAAGACACAACCAUCUGUCAAGUAUGCAAUUUUGAAAUGCCCAACGCAAUAGAAUAUUGUUGUGGACAUGCUCUAGCUUUGACUGUUGGUAAAGCUGCUUUGUAUAUGCUAUCAGAGGAUUCAGAACAUUGUAUUUAAUGAACAUAUACAUGAUGGUAACACUAAAGCUCCGACUUAGCUAAAUUUAUUUUAAAUUAUUUAAGCUGUUCUUUCUAUCGAAGGGGGGAUUACUAUUAGGGUUAAGGACAAGCUCUGGUUUUUGAUAGAAAAGGG
Molecule: unclassified non-coding RNA, 3217 nt
Filed under: Hevea brasiliensis (rubber tree)
Lineage: Eukaryota; Viridiplantae; Streptophyta; Magnoliopsida; Malpighiales; Euphorbiaceae
Source: RNAcentral